RNAcentral lists this long non-coding RNA (779 nucleotides) under Mytilus galloprovincialis (Mediterranean mussel). The record is from RNAcentral. Lineage: Eukaryota; Metazoa; Mollusca; Bivalvia; Mytilida; Mytilidae.
AUAGAUACUAGAACACACCCGUGAUAUCGCGGGUCUGUGACUGAAUUAAAGAAUAUAACUAUGCGUAAGCCUUAUUUUAGUAUUGGUAUUGUCAUCUGAUAAAGUCAUGCCGAUUAUAAGAUGCACAGUUUUCUCUGCUUUCAACAUCUUUCUGUUUGAACCCGUCGACCUGGAACUUAUCAAUUAUUGGUACUAUUAUUUAUUUGGAAAACAAAAUGGCCUGGAAAGGAGUAUUUUUUAAUCAACAGCAUUGUCCUUUAUGAGUUAUAAAUAAAGUUGAAUUCUUUGAUUCGCUGUUUGACGCCAUUCCGGCUAACAAAUUGAAAACUGUACAUGCUGUACCUAUACGCCUUAUUUUAAGUCCAGAUUUUUAUUAUUCGUAUUGUCAUCUUAGAAAGUCAUACUGAUUAAAAUACUACAAUCGGGAACAAUGUGACAAUGAUUAAAUUUAGUUGUGUCAACCCUGUGAUUACGACCCGUGUAUAUAGCAAAAUCUUAAAUACAGCGUUUGGUGGUGCGCCUGUCAGAUGCGGAACGUACAGAUAAGUUAAUAGGUAACAGGUGAAUAUACUAUUGGUAUCGGUAUCGGAUUCGACCCGGAACUUCUUAAUUAUUGGCAAUAUUAAUUAUGUGGAAAACAAAAGGGUCUGGAGUGGUGUAAUUUUUAAUCAACAGCAUUGUACUAUAUUAGUUAUAUAUAAAGUUAAAUUCUUUGAUUCAUCGUUUUUACGUGAUGACGGCUGACAAAUUGGACCUCGUAAUUUUAGUAUUAUAGAUAU